AACGAACGCUGGCGGCAUGCCUAACACAUGCAAGUCGAACGAGACCUUCGGGUCUCGUGGCGCACGGGUGCGUAACGCGUGGGAACCUGCCCUUAGGUUCGGAAUAACUCCCCGAAAGGGGUGCUAAUACCGGAUAAUGUCUUCGGACCAAAGAUUUAUCGCCUUUGGAUGGGCCCGCGUUGGAUUAGCUAGUUGGUAGGGUAAAAGCCUACCAAGGCGACGAUCCAUAGCUGGUCUGCGAGGAUGAUCAGCCACACUGGGACUGAGACACGGCCCAGAAUCCUACGGGAGGCAGCAGUGGGGAAUAUUGGACAAGGGGCGAAAGCCUGAUCCAGCAAUGCCGCGUGAGUGAUCAAGGCCUUAGGGUUGUAAAGCUCUUUUACACGGGAUGAUAAUGACAGUACCGGGAGAAUAAGCUCCGGCUAACUCCGUG
RNAcentral lists this ribosomal RNA (433 nucleotides) under uncultured bacterium. Its description in RNAcentral is "partial 16S ribosomal RNA". It matches the Rfam family "Bacterial small subunit ribosomal RNA", at positions 29 to 507 of the family's 1533-position model. The record is from RNAcentral.